This 400-nucleotide unclassified non-coding RNA is filed under the name uncultured fungus. RNAcentral describes it as "sequence contains ITS1". The stretch from base 1 to 104 matches the Rfam family "5.8S ribosomal RNA", at positions 50 to 154 of the family's 154-position model. Lineage: Eukaryota; Fungi. The record is from RNAcentral.
GAAUUGCGAUAACUAAUGUGAAUCGCGAAACCUGUGAAUCAUCCAGUCUUUGAACGCAAAUUGCACUCUGCGGCCAUCCGCAGAGUAUGUCUGUUUGAGCAUCGGCACCACACUCACCAAGCGGCGCGCGAGCGUGCGCGGUGGACCUGAGCGCUGACUGCGAGCCCGGCAACGGGCCAGCGGUCUCGCUUCAAAUGCAGACGGGACGCGCACAGCGAGGACCUGCCUCUCUUUUGCGACAGCGUGUUGCUACGGAAUGCUGUCUGCGUGAAGUUUGGCGUAUACAAUGGAUCCCGUGCCGUACCGAAUGAAGGGAGCGUGUCAUUCUCUCGCGAGAGUGGUGACACGCUCAAACCGUAAGCGCACUGGUCUCACAUCAGACAAGAUUACCCGCUGAACU